AUUGAACGCUGGCGACAUGCCUUACACAUGCAAGUCGAACGGCAGCACGGGUGCUUGCACCUGGUGGCGAGUGGCGAACGGGUGAGUAAUACAUCGGAACAUGUCCUGUAGUGGGGGAUAGCCCGGCGAAAGCCGGAUUAAUACCGCAUACGAUCUACGGAUGAAAGCGGGGGACCUUCGGGCCUCGCGCUAUAGGGUUGGCCGAUGGCUGAUUAGCUAGUUGGUGGGGUAAAGGCCUACCAAGGCGACGAUCAGUAGCUGGUCUGAGAGGACGACCAGCCACACUGGGGCUGAGACCCGGCCCAGACUCCUACGGGAGGCAGCAGUGGGGAAUUUUGGACAAUGGGCGAAAGCCUGAUCCAGCAAUGCCGCGUGUGUGAAGAAGGCCUGCGGGUUGUAAAGCACUUUUGUCCGGAAAGAAAUCCUUGGCCCUAAUACGGUCGGGGGAUGACGGUACCGGAAGAAUAAGCACCGGCUAACUACGU
This 485-nucleotide ribosomal RNA is filed under the name uncultured bacterium. RNAcentral's name for it is "partial 16S ribosomal RNA". It matches the Rfam family "Bacterial small subunit ribosomal RNA", at positions 30 to 506 of the family's 1533-position model. The record is from RNAcentral.